Molecule: ribosomal RNA, 654 nt
Filed under: Chlorophorus japonicus
Lineage: Eukaryota; Metazoa; Arthropoda; Insecta; Coleoptera; Cerambycidae
Description: eukaryotic LSU rRNA
Rfam family: Eukaryotic large subunit ribosomal RNA
Source: RNAcentral
UGCGAGCGAACAGGGAAGAGCCCAGCACCGAAUCCCCGCGGCCCGAUAUCGGACGCCGGGAAAUGGGGGGUUAGGGGAGGAUCCGUUUAUCCCGAGGUCGUGCGGUGCGUCCAAGUCCUUCUUGAACGGGGCCACAGCCCAUAGAGGGUGCCAGGCCCGUAGCGACCGCUGCCGAUCGCGGGAGGAUCUCUCCUCAGAGUCGGGUUGCUUGAGAGUGCAGCCCUAAGUGGGUGGUAAACUCCAUCUAAGGCUAAAUAUGACCACGAGACCGAUAGCGAACAAGUACCGUGAGGGAAAGUUGAAAAGCACUUUGAAGAGAGAGUUCAAGAGUACGUGAAACCGUUCAGGGGUAAACCUGAGAAGCCCGAAAGGUCGAAUGGGGAAAUUCAUUCGCGUUUCGGCUGCCGGCGUGGUACGGUCGAGUGACGGUCGGCGUACGCGUCGUCCGCGCCUUCCGUUCUUCGAACCGGCGUCGAACGCGUGCACUUUUCCCCUAGUAGGACGUCGCGAUCCGUUGGGUGUCGGUCUACGGCUCGCGGUGGAGCCCGUGCGGUCGCUUCGCGGCGUAUCGCACGGACCCGCGGUGUCCCGACCGACUCGCUCGACGGUAUACUGAUGGCGCGGGGCCGCUACUUAUCCUGUGAAGCGUUCGGC